Molecule: ribosomal RNA, 686 nt
Filed under: uncultured Comamonadaceae bacterium
Lineage: Bacteria; Pseudomonadati; Pseudomonadota; Betaproteobacteria; Burkholderiales; Comamonadaceae
Description: bacterial SSU rRNA
Rfam family: Bacterial small subunit ribosomal RNA
Source: RNAcentral
GGCGAACGGGUGAGUAAUAUAUCGGAACGUGCCCAGUCGUGGGGGAUAACGCAGCGAAAGCUGUGCUAAUACCGCAUACGACCUAAGGGUGAAAGGGGGGGAUCGCAAGACCUCUCGCUAUUGGAGCGGCCGAUGUCAGAUUAGGUAGUUGGUGGGGUAAAGGCUCACCAAGCCUGCGAUCUGUAGCUGGUCUGAGAGGACGACCAGCCACACUGGGACUGAGACACGGCCCAGACUCCUACGGGAGGCAGCAGUGGGGAAUUUUGGACAAUGGGCGCAAGCCUGAUCCAGCCAUUCCGCGUGCAGGAUGAAGGCCUUCGGGUUGUAAACUGCUUUUGUACGGAACGAAACGACCUUCUCUAAUACAGGGGGUUAAUGACGGUACUGUAAGAAUAAGCACCGGCUAACUACGUGCCAGCAGCCGCGGUAAUACGUAGGGUGCAAGCGUUAAUCGGAAUUACUGGGCGUAAAGCGUGCGCAGGCGGUUAUAUAAGUCAGAUGUGAAAUCCCCGGGCUCAACCUGGGAACUGCAUUUGAGACUGUAUAGCUAGAGUACGGUAGAGGGGGAUGGAAUUCCACGUGUAGCAGUGAAAUGCGUAGAGAUGUGGAGGAACACCAAUGGCGAAGGCAGCCCCCUGGGUCGAUACUGACGCUCAUGCACGAAAGCGUGGGUAGCAAACAGGAUU